This 72-nucleotide transfer RNA is filed under the name Candidatus Woesearchaeota archaeon. Its description in RNAcentral is "tRNA-His". It matches the Rfam family "tRNA". Rfam says of the family: Transfer RNA (tRNA) molecules are approximately 80 nucleotides in length. Their secondary structure includes four short double-helical elements and three loops (D, anti-codon, and T loops). The record is from RNAcentral. Lineage: Archaea; Nanobdellati; Candidatus Woesearchaeota.
GCGGCUGUCGUAUAACGGUUAGUAUCGGGGACUGUGGAUCCCUGGGAGGGGGUUCGAUUCCCCCCAGCUGCC